UAACAUUUGGGGAAGAUUCAGCCAUUCUCCCAUGUGACUUCUGGUUUUUGACCAUCUAAAAUUAAGAAUGUUCAAAAAGGCGCAAUGCAUGAAGUUGACUCCUUGUCUUCUACCACCUUUCCGUUAAACUAACAUUUGGGCAGAUUCAGCCAUUCUCCCAUGUGACUUCUGGUUUUUGACCAUCUAAAAUAACAUUUGGGGCAGAUUCAGCCAUUCUCCCAUGUGACUUCUGGUUUUUGACCACCUAAAAUUAAGAAUGUUCAAAAAGUUGCGAUGCAUGAAGUUGACUCCCCGUCUCCUACUCCCUUUCCGUUCAACCAACAACGAUGUCCUCCGCAGUUAGCAUCAAACGUCGGGCUCCGCAGGUUUUUCUUCAUUUUUUUGAAGCUGCUACACCUCCCCUGGAGCCUCACUACUGGAGAUGAUGCCAGAAGAUGAUGCUGAAAAAAAUUGCAUUUUGUUAUCUUCCACACACAACAGGAAGUAGCAAAAAAAUUACACACAAAUAUGACAGCCUCUACUUUUGUUCAGCCUUGGUGGAGGUUUAUAGUUACAUAAAAGUCAUUAUAGCAUUUCUAUGAUAAGAAAUGUAAUGUUUUUUUUUUACAGGUAUUGUAUAUAUGCUUAACAUCUGAAGGCAAGUAUUCAUGAACAGUGUAUAACCUUCACAGAAUCCAUUUACUGCAUUUGUAUGUGCUCUUUAUGGACAAGAAUGCAGACUGAAUAACAUUUUUUUUUGCUUUGCUUUGGUUUCAUUGCUGUGCUUAA
This is a non-coding RNA of Doryrhamphus excisus (bluestripe pipefish), 768 nucleotides long. The record is from RefSeq and is a predicted model, not a curated record. Lineage: Eukaryota; Metazoa; Chordata; Actinopteri; Syngnathiformes; Syngnathidae.